This 681-nucleotide ribosomal RNA is filed under the name Cymatodera sobara. RNAcentral's name for it is "partial 28S ribosomal RNA". It matches the Rfam family "Eukaryotic large subunit ribosomal RNA", at positions 655 to 1283 of the family's 3401-position model. Lineage: Eukaryota; Metazoa; Arthropoda; Insecta; Coleoptera; Cleridae. The record is from RNAcentral.
UGAAACACGGACCAAGGAGUCUAGCAUGUGCGCGAGUCAUUGGGGAACAACUAAACCUAAAGGCGCAAUGAAAGUGAAGGUCCGCCUUGCGCGGACCAAGGGAAGAUGGGCGGCUGUCCAGCGUACAGCGGUCGCCCCGCACUCCCGGGGCGUCUCGUUCUCAUUGCGAGAAGAGGCGCACCAAGAGCGUACACGCUGGGACCCGAAAGAUGGUGAACUAUGCCUGGUCAGGACGAAGUCAGGGGAAACCCUGAUGGAGGUCCGUAGCGAUUCUGACGUGCAAAUCGAUCGUCGGAACUGGGUAUAGGGGCGAAAGACUAAUCGAACCAUCUAGUAGCUGGUUCCCUCCGAAGUUUCCCUCAGGAUAGCUGGCGCUCGUCGCUUACGAGUCUCAUCCGGUAAAGCGAAUGAUUAGAGGCAUUGGGGUCGAAACGGCCUCAACCUAUUCUCAAACUUUAAAUGGGUGAGAUCUCCGGCUUGCUCGAACUUUUGAAGCCGCGAGACUCGAAUCAGAGUGCCAAGUGGGCCAUUUUUGGUAAGCAGAACUGGCGCUGUGGGAUGAACCAAACGCCGAGUUAAAAGCGCCUAAAUCGACGCUUAUGGGAUACCAUGAAAAGGCGUUGGUAACUUAAGACAGCAGGACGGUGGCCAUGGAAGUCGGAAUCCGCUAAGGGAAUGUGU